RNAcentral lists this ribosomal RNA (171 nucleotides) under uncultured bacterium. RNAcentral describes it as "partial 16S ribosomal RNA". It matches the Rfam family "Bacterial small subunit ribosomal RNA", at positions 796 to 1041 of the family's 1533-position model. The record is from RNAcentral.
CACGCCGUAAACGAUGAGUACUAGGUGUAGGAGGUAUCGACCCCUUCUGUGCCGCAGUUAACACAAUAAGUACUCCGCCUGGGAANAGCAACGCGAAGAACCUUACCUAGACUUGACAUCUCCUGAAUUACUCGUAAUGGAGGAAGCCCUUCGGGGCAGGAAGACAGGUGG